Molecule: ribosomal RNA, 507 nt
Filed under: uncultured bacterium
Lineage: Bacteria
Description: bacterial SSU rRNA
Rfam family: Bacterial small subunit ribosomal RNA
Source: RNAcentral
GAACGCUGGCGGCGUGCUUAACACAUGCAAGUCGAACGCGAAAGGGACUUCGGUCCUGAGUAAAGUGGCGCACGGGUGAGUAACGCGUAGAUAACCUGUCUUCAUGUCUGGAAUAAUACGCCGAAAGGGGUACUAAUACCGGAUAUUCUUGCUUUUCAUAAGUUAUGCAAGCAAAGGUGGCCUCUGCAUAUGCUACUGCAUGAAGAGGGGUCUGCGUACCAUUAGCUAGUAGGUGGGGUAAUGGCCUACCUAGGCGACGAUGGUUAGCGGGUCUGAGAGGAUGAUCCGCCACACUGGCACUGGAACACGGGCCAGACUCCUACGGGAGGCAGCAGUGAGGAAUAUUGCGCAAUGGGGAAACCCUGACGCAGCGACGCCGCGUGAGUGAAGGAAGGCCUUCGGGUCGUAAAGCUCUGUCAAGAGGAAAGAAGUGUACAAUGGCUAAUACCUGUUGUAUUUGACGGUACCUCUAAAGGAAGCACCGGCUAACUCCGUGCCAGCCGCAGC